AGUUUGAUCCUGGCUCAGAUUGAACGCUGGCGGCAGGCUUAACACAUGCAAGUCGAGCGGGGGAAGGUAGCUUGCUACCGGACCUAGCGGCGGACGGGUGAGUAAUGCUUAGGAAUCUGCCUAUUAGUGGGGGACAACAUCUCGAAAGGGAUGCUAAUACCGCAUACGUCCUACGGGAGAAAGCAGGGGAUCUUCGGACCUUGCGCUAAUAGAUGAGCCUAAGUCGGAUUAGCUAGUUGGUGGGGUAAAGGCCUACCAAGGCGACGAUCUGUAGCGGGUCUGAGAGGAUGAUCCGCCACACUGGGACUGAGACACGGCCCAGACUCCUACGGGAGGCAGCAGUGGGGAAUAUUGGACAAUGGGGGGAACCCUGAUCCAGCCAUGCCGCGUGUGUGAAGAAGGCCUUAUGGUUGUAAAGCACUUUAAGCGAGGAGGAGGCUACUUUAGUUAAUACCUAGAGAUAGUGGACGUUACUCGCAGAAUAAGCACCGGCUAACUCUGUGCCAGCAGCCGCGGUAAUACAGAGGGUGCGAGCGUUAAUCGGAUUUACUGGGCGUAAAGCGUGCGUAGGCGGCUUAUUAAGUCGGAUGUGAAAUCCCCGAGCUUAACUUGGGAAUUGCAUUCGAUACUGGUGAGCUAGAGUAUGGGAGAGGAUGGUAGAAUUCCAGGUGUAGCGGUGAAAUGCGUAGAGAUCUGGAGGAAUACCGAUGGCGAAGGCAGCCAUCUGGCCUAAUACUGACGCUGAGGUACGAAAGCAUGGGGAGCAAACAGGAUUAGAUACCCUGGUAGUCC
RNAcentral lists this ribosomal RNA (792 nucleotides) under Acinetobacter baumannii. RNAcentral's name for it is "bacterial SSU rRNA". It matches the Rfam family "Bacterial small subunit ribosomal RNA", at positions 10 to 796 of the family's 1533-position model. Lineage: Bacteria; Pseudomonadati; Pseudomonadota; Gammaproteobacteria; Moraxellales; Moraxellaceae. The record is from RNAcentral.